AUAUAAUAAAAUGAAGCCUUGAACCGCGUUUGAGCUUCUCACACUGCUGUCUGGGUUUCUUCCAAAUCCAAAGCUUGAAACUUCGGCUCCGUCAGUAUGGUAUAUGCUCUGUCCAGAUCAUUUCAGAUUCAUAACAACUGCUAAAAUAGAAAUGAGAACCUGAAUUAAUAUUCCAAAUUCAACAGCUUUGUAAUUGCCAUAUAUUAUCUUUGUUGAACGUACAGCUUAGCAACUGUCUACACUCUGAAUACAAUACCGGAUGGACUUGGUGCUGCAGCAAGGUUCUUGCUAGCUUCAACCUACAUUCAAAUCCAUGUAUACUGCACUUAUCUAUUCAUUGUUUAUUUGAUUUUUUUUUUUCGUUUUUCAUUUUCCUAUU
Molecule: long non-coding RNA, 379 nt
Filed under: Citrus maxima (pomelo)
Lineage: Eukaryota; Viridiplantae; Streptophyta; Magnoliopsida; Sapindales; Rutaceae
Description: long non-coding RNA (CMAX_LNC001030)
Source: RNAcentral